This 768-nucleotide long non-coding RNA is filed under the name Ananas comosus (pineapple). Its description in RNAcentral is "long non-coding RNA (ACOM_LNC009697)". The record is from RNAcentral. Lineage: Eukaryota; Viridiplantae; Streptophyta; Magnoliopsida; Poales; Bromeliaceae.
AGAGAGAGAGAGAGAGAGAGAGAGAGAGAGAGAGAGAAUUUUGUUGUUGUUGUUGUGAGAAUAAUUUGAAGGGGAGGAGGAAGGAGAAAUUAUUCCAUGCAUAUUGUCUAUGCCAGUGAGGCUCCUAUGCUUCUGAAAACACUGUGUCCGAACUUUGUACUUUUAAAUUAUUUUUGAUGUUUAGAUUUUCGAAUCCACAAUCGGUUUCAUUAGAUUUAAUUUAGAGCAUUUGAAUUACUUAAAAAAUAAAUUUUAUAAUUUUUUAAUAUCAUUUGCUUGAUGAUCGAAAGGGCUCAAGAUAAAUAGCUGAAAAUAAAAAUAUUACAAAAUAUGAUGAUAUGAUGUUAAAAUUUUAAAUAAAAAAUAUUGAUCUUAUUUUAUAUAGUAUGAAAAAUUUACUAUCAAAAUUUCAUGUGAUUUGGAUAGUUUCUACACCGUUAAACUUGCAAACGAUUCACUAUGAUCAUUAAAAUUAUUGAUUUUUAGUCUCAGUGAUCACUAGGCAAAUAAUUUUGAAAACUCACGAAAUUUAUAUUUUAGAUACUUCAAAUACUCUAGAUCAAGUCUAACGAAACCGAUCGUCGAUUUGAAAGUCUCAAUAUCAAAAACGACUCGAAAAUACGAAGAGCUCCGUACUUUCAGAAAUAUACCAAGCUCAAUCUUGUCUAUGCUACACACUAUAUGAUAAAUCUAUACAAUAUACAAUAUUGUUUGCAAAGAUAUUAACAAAUUUCAUCGAUUGAUUACUGCACACGCGCAAUUUAUUAC